CUUGAAGUAUUCCUGAUUGCUGAGACGGGCAUUCCAGAGAGAAAAAGGCAACAGCAAAAACCGUGGCCUGGAACAUCAGAUGCAAACUGGGAACACAGACCCUGGGCUUCUGAAAGGAAAGGGCAGAGGUGUGCUGGCGCAGCGGGCCGCUCCGCGCAGGCUUGGUAAAUUGAUGUGUAAAGCAGAGAAUAACUUCACAACCCCCCGGGGAAAAGGUCAGAGGAACAGGAGCAGGAGAGCAGGAGGCACCAUGCAGAGGGUCACCUAGCCAGGAGCUGGCUGGCAGAAGCGGCGUGACCGUGGUCAGCACAGGCACCUCCUUCUGCAACACCAAGAAAAGGAGUCCAGACCAGGGCUGCCCAAUGGAAAGUAAGCCGGGGAAUUCCUGAGUUUGAGUGACGGCACACGCAGUGCUGAUGGCCACAUUUCAGUGUGCAGCCACGUGGCUGUGGCUAGGACAGCACAGUCAGAUGGUCUGGACCGUAUGCUCUGGGAAACGUCUGAUCCUAUCUGACCAGGUGGGGAAUACAAUUUACUUGAAUUAAAA
Molecule: long non-coding RNA, 547 nt
Organism: Myotis myotis
Lineage: Eukaryota; Metazoa; Chordata; Mammalia; Chiroptera; Vespertilionidae
Exons: 3
Source: RefSeq, a predicted model, not a curated record